RNAcentral lists this ribosomal RNA (400 nucleotides) under uncultured bacterium. Its description in RNAcentral is "bacterial SSU rRNA". It matches the Rfam family "Bacterial small subunit ribosomal RNA", at positions 359 to 776 of the family's 1533-position model. The record is from RNAcentral.
GAAUCAUAGACAAUGGGGGAAACCCUGAUCUUGCCAUGCCGCGUGGACGAUGAAGGCCUUAGGGUUGUAAAGUCCUUUCACCGGUGAAGAUAAUGACGGUAGCCGGAGAAGAAGCCCCGGCUAACUCCGUGCCAGCAGCCGCGGUAAUACGGAGGGGGCUAGCGUUGUUCGGAAUUACUGGGCGUAAAGCGCGCGUAGGCGGACUGUUAAGUCGGGGGUGAAAUCCCGGGGCUCAACCCCGGAACUGCCUUCGAUACUGGCAGUCUAGAGAGAGGCAGAGGCUAGUGGAAUGGCGAGUGUAGAGGUGAAAUUCGUAGAUAUUCGCCGGAACACCAGUGGCGAAGGCGACUGGCUGGGCCUUUUCUGACGCUGAGGUGCGAAAGCGUGGGGAGCAAACAGG